CCUCAAGGGGCGCAGGAGUGGAACAGUUUUGUCCUGGGACAUACCACUGACAGGAAGAGAGAUCCAGCAGCGGACCGCAAAGGGGCCAGCGAUUGGUUCUGGGAUGUGAGGGGCAGGGUCAAGGGCCUUUCUGGGUGAUGAUUGGUCACCGAGAGAGCUAAAACUACAACCUCAGUGGUCCCGUGAUGCUGUGAUGCUCCAGGACAAGAUUACACCAGCUGAAGACAUCCUGGGAGGAACAAAAUCUUCAUCUGCAUAGUUCCUCAUUGAUCUAGGAUAUCUGCCGCCUGCCUCGCAAGUGCAAGGUCCUGAGUUCGAUCCCUGUUACCAAAAAAAAAAGUUCUUUACAUUUUCAGAUCUCCCCAUGUUGUGUCUUACUUUUGGGGAAGAGAAUAGGAGGAGGAAGGAGCAAAAACAGUGUCUCAUUGGAGUCCCCAAAAGUGGACAUGCUAUUGGAUCCCAUGUGUGAGAACUCGGAGUGAAUUGCCCCCUCCCUCUGAGAGUGUGAGUAAAUUUUUUUCCUCAGGACCUCCCAUAUGUGAGUUUCUGACCUCAACUAUUGGAUUUCAAAAUACAUAUUAACUCAAGAGUGUGACUGAUGUCUUGAGAGCUUAGGUUGUGGUAGGAUUAUACUCUGCUGGUUGCUUUUCCAAAGACCAAGAGC
Molecule: long non-coding RNA, 664 nt
Organism: Heterocephalus glaber (naked mole-rat)
Lineage: Eukaryota; Metazoa; Chordata; Mammalia; Rodentia; Bathyergidae
Source: Ensembl